GGGCCCUUAGCUCAGCAGGUAGAGCAACUGACUCUUAAUCAGUAGGUUGCCGGUUCGAUCCCGGCAGGGCUCAUCA
This 76-nucleotide transfer RNA is filed under the name Syntrophobacterales bacterium CG_4_8_14_3_um_filter_49_14. RNAcentral's name for it is "tRNA-Lys". It matches the Rfam family "tRNA". Rfam says of the family: Transfer RNA (tRNA) molecules are approximately 80 nucleotides in length. Their secondary structure includes four short double-helical elements and three loops (D, anti-codon, and T loops). RNAcentral also lists the same sequence under 2 other names. Lineage: Bacteria; Pseudomonadati; Thermodesulfobacteriota; Syntrophobacteria; Syntrophobacterales. The record is from RNAcentral.